CCCGCCAGCCCCGCGCUCUACCAGGCAGAGCGCGUGUGGCCGCCGAGCACAUGGACCCACUGGUCAAGCGGGCUCGGCAAGGCCAGGAUGAAGAGAAGCUACGAACUUAGCAUUCCCAGAGCCCCCCGAGUGGAUAUCCGCGUGGAAAGGAUGUUGGCAGCCCCGGUGACCUCGGAGUCACGGCUGGAUCCACCCUCUUGUCUGAUUUUCUUAACUCUACUACGGUAAGAAGAUGCCCUCCAUCAGCAGGCCGUGUCUGCUGGGACCUCUCUGGAGACUUCCUGAACCCUGUGGAUUUACAGUAAGAUGCAGUUUCCUGGGGAGUAAUUCUGGUGGAUACAAAUUCCGGAGUAUUACACCUGGCUUGCCUGGAGAUGUUACAAGUAGCUGGAUGGAUUCUUCAGCCUGGAUGCCCACUGAAAACAAGGACCGAAACUAAGAGGAUUGUAUCUCUACCCUUGACUCAAUGAGAAUGUUUGUUGUCAUCUCUCGGGCUACCUGGAGCUCCCUCUAAAAUAGAGCCGAGUUCUGUCACCACAGACAUUGGCAGUGGCACUUGCAUGCCCCUGGCAAGCAGUCUAUCCUGAGGUGGAGGAAGUUGCCCUUGAGUUCUGGCUGGUAACCAGCACAGUAUACCCUUUAAGCGUUCCAGAAGGAUUUUGAGAUCCUUUCCUAAAUCAAAGGUGGAAUAUUUGGGGAUUUGGAAAAUUGAGUGUCUUCAGCCAAGGGAUGAGAACAGCGCAUGCUGCUGCUGCUGAUUCUGUGUGCUCAGGGCCCUUCUGUGGAGGAGCAGGAGAAUAGGCUUCAGAGAAAUCAGGAGCGGUGAAUGAUCGAAAUGGACCUUUGAGAUUACAGUGUGGAGCUGACAUUGCCAGUUAAGCCUGGGCAGAUCUGACUUAAUUGAUUUAGUUGUUGGAGCAGAGACAACCCAGAGGCUUGGAUCAGCCUCCCCAUCUGACAGUGUGCUGAUGUGAAGCGUUGACUUAAGAGAUGCCAAGUAACUCAGCAGAUGUCACACAGACGAUAAAUAGCAAAGAUGGAAGUCUUCAUGCCGGAGGCAAUCCUAUAAGACAGCUGAGUUCUGCAGAGCUGGUAGGAGACAGACUUGCUCAGGUGAUAGAUCCAGCCAUGAUACUGACCCUAAGAGAAUGAGACGCUCUGCAGAAGACAGAAGAUUCCUGAAACUGGGAAAGGUGCCUAGAAAUCCUGAUAAGAGUGAAGAAGGGUACCUGGAGGCACAGCAGCCAUGUUGAACCUAUGAGGUGAUGAAAAACCAUGCAACUAGAAACCAGAAUGGAAGAAAAGAAGAAGCUGGAUCCUUGACUGAAUUGUCGAUGGGGGAUAGUCCAUCAUCCCAGGGCUAAGACCACCUCCAGAUUUCUUGUUUGGUGAAACAAGUCCUGAUUGUUUACAUUCCCUCGUGUUGAGCUGUCUCUUGCUUGUAGCUGAAAGCAUUUCUAAUAGAUAUUCAGAUUAUCAGCCUUAGCUCCAAGCUAGAAUACUCUAUGGGACCUUAGCUUCUCCAUGAAUUCCUUUGCUCAUCUGUGUAAUGCUCAAUAAAUGUAAAUUGAACCCUGAAUGAGGGACAAUGACA
RNAcentral lists this long non-coding RNA (1594 nucleotides) under Mus musculus (house mouse). RNAcentral's name for it is "Pvt1 oncogene". The stretch from base 43 to 199 matches the Rfam family "Pvt1 oncogene conserved region 1". The record is from RNAcentral. Lineage: Eukaryota; Metazoa; Chordata; Mammalia; Rodentia; Muridae.